GGUCCCGUAGUGUAGCGGUUAUCACGCCUGCCUGUCACGCAGGAGAUCGCGGGUUCGAUUCCGGUCGGGACCGCCA
This 76-nucleotide transfer RNA is filed under the name Heyndrickxia coagulans. RNAcentral's name for it is "tRNA-Asp". It matches the Rfam family "tRNA". From Rfam's summary of the family: Transfer RNA (tRNA) molecules are approximately 80 nucleotides in length. The record is from RNAcentral. Lineage: Bacteria; Bacillati; Bacillota; Bacilli; Caryophanales; Bacillaceae.